AUUGAACGCUGGCGGCAGGCCUAACACAUGCAAGUCGAACGGUAACAGGAAGCAGCUUGCUGCUUUGCUGACGAGUGGCGGAAGGGUGAGUAAUGUCUGGGAAACUGCCCGAUGGAGGGGGAUAACUACUGGAAACGGUAGCUAAUACCGCAUAACGUCGCAAGACCAAAGAGGGGGACCUUAGGGCCUCUUGCCAUCGGAUGUGCCCAGAUGGGAUUAGCUAGUAGGUGGGGUAACGGCUCACCUAGGCGACGAUCCCUAGCUGGUCUGAGAGGAUGACCAGCCACACUGUAACUGAGACACGGUCCAGACUCCUACGGGAGGCAGCAGUGGGGAAUAUUGCACAAUGGGCGCAAGCCUGAUGCAGCCAUGCCGCGUGUAUGAAGAAGGCCUUCGGGUUGUAGAGUACUUUCAGCGGGGAGGAAGGGAGUAAAGUUAAUACCUUUGCUCAUUGACGUUACCCGCAGAAGAAGCACCGGCUAACUCCGUG
RNAcentral lists this ribosomal RNA (490 nucleotides) under uncultured bacterium. RNAcentral's name for it is "partial 16S ribosomal RNA". It matches the Rfam family "Bacterial small subunit ribosomal RNA", at positions 30 to 507 of the family's 1533-position model. The record is from RNAcentral.